GGGAAUAUGGCUCAGUGGUAGAGUGCUUUCCUAACAUGCAGAAGGCCCUGGGUUCAAUCCCCAGCACUGCCA
RNAcentral lists this transfer RNA (72 nucleotides) under Heterocephalus glaber (naked mole-rat). It matches the Rfam family "tRNA". From Rfam's summary of the family: Transfer RNA (tRNA) molecules are approximately 80 nucleotides in length. The record is from Rfam by way of RNAcentral. Lineage: Eukaryota; Metazoa; Chordata; Mammalia; Rodentia; Bathyergidae.